CUGGCGGCAGGCCUAAUACAUGCAAGUCGAGCGCGCCCUUCGGGGUGAGCGGCGGACGGGUGAGUAACGCGUGGGAAUAUGCCCUUCUCUAAGGAAUAGCCUCUGGAAACGGAGAGUAAUACCUUAUACGCCCUUUGGGGGAAAGAUUUAUCGGAGAAGGAUUAGCCCGCGUUAGAUUAGGUAGUUGGUGGGGUAAUGGCCUACCAAGCCUACGAUCUAUAGCUGGUUUGAGAGGAUGAUCAGCCACACUGGGACUGAGACACGGCCCAGACUCCUACGGGAGGCAGCAGUAGGGAAUCUUAGACAAUGGGGGCAACCCUGAUCUAGCCAUGCCGCGUGUGUGAUGAAGGCCCUAGGGUCGUAAAGCACUUUCGCCAGAGAUGAUAAUGACAGUAUCUGGUAAAGAAACCCCGGCUAACUCCGUGCCAGCAGCCGCGGUAAUACGGAGGGGGUUAGCGUUGUUCGGAAUUACUGGGCGUAAAGCGCACGUAGGCGGAUUAGUAAGUUAGAGGUGAAAUCCCAGGGCUCAACCCUGGAACUGCCUUUAAUACUGCUAGUCUUGAGUUCGAGAGAGGUAAGUGGAAUUCCGAGUGUAGAGGUGAAAUUCGUAGAUAUUCGGAGGAACACCAGUGGCGAAGGCGGCUUACUGGCUCGAUACUGACGCUGAGGUGCGAAAGUGUGGGGAGCAAACAGGAUUAGAUACCCUGGUAGUCCACACCGUAAACGAUGAAUGCCAGACGUCAGCAAGUAUACUUGUUGGUGUCACACCUAACGGAUUAAGCAUCC
Molecule: ribosomal RNA, 786 nt
Filed under: uncultured Planktomarina sp.
Lineage: Bacteria; Pseudomonadati; Pseudomonadota; Alphaproteobacteria; Rhodobacterales; Paracoccaceae
Description: bacterial SSU rRNA
Rfam family: Bacterial small subunit ribosomal RNA
Source: RNAcentral